This 294-nucleotide unclassified non-coding RNA is filed under the name uncultured fungus. RNAcentral describes it as "sequence contains ITS2". The stretch from base 1 to 52 matches the Rfam family "5.8S ribosomal RNA", at positions 103 to 154 of the family's 154-position model. Lineage: Eukaryota; Fungi. The record is from RNAcentral.
AACGCACCUUGCGCUCCUUGGUAUUCCGAGGAGCAUGCCUGUUCGAGUGUCAUGAAACUCUCAAACCGUCAUCUUUAUUGAUGGCGGGCUUGGACUUGGACGUUGCUGGGCUUACGCUCGGCUCGUCUUAAAUGCAUUAGCUGACUCUCCCGACUUCAGUUUUCGGCGUGAUAAUCACAUCUACGUCGAUGCCGCGAGGCGCUGGACCGGGGAUCAAACGGCUUCUAACCGUCCGCGAGGACAAUCUUCAUCUCAUUUGGCCUCGAAUCAGGUAGGACUACCCGCUGAACUUAA